RNAcentral lists this ribosomal RNA (247 nucleotides) under uncultured bacterium. Its description in RNAcentral is "partial 16S ribosomal RNA". It matches the Rfam family "Bacterial small subunit ribosomal RNA", at positions 523 to 769 of the family's 1533-position model. The record is from RNAcentral.
AUACGUAGGGAGCAAGCGUUAUCCGGAUUUACUGGGUGUAAAGGGCGCGUAGGCGGGACUGCUAAGUCAGGUGUGAAAUCUGGUGGCUCAACCACCAACUGCACUUGAAACUGUGGUUCUUGAGUGAUGGAGAGGCAAGUGGAAUUCCUAGUGUAGCGGUGAAAUGCGUAGAUAUUAGGAGGAACACCAGUGGCGAAGGCGGCCUACUGGGCUCUAACUGACGCUGAGGCUCGAAAGUGUGGGGAGC